GGCUCUGGCUGAUAGCCACCCCCUUUUCAGCACCCACCCCCAGGGGGACGGCGCCAAAACCCCAUUGCCCUGCCAGCCGCUGUGAAUAGACAGAGCUCCCCCACGCCAGCAAAGCAGCUCCGCAGCUGGUGGGGGGCCCAGGAAGAGAGAUUUUGCUUUUUCUCCCUCUUAUGGGGCUGACAGCUUGGACAGUAGCUUCCCAGAAACGAACUUUAUUCUCAGGGAGACGGACGUGCCUGAACCCUGAAUGUUUCCAUGAAUAUUUAUGGUUUUUCUCUCUGCUCUGGUCUCAGCUUUGGCCAUGAUACAACGUUUCCCUUUCACCGCCUGUAGAUGCCUCAUUAUUGCUCCGCGGGCUCAGCUUGUCUGUAACUGGGGCAAAGAACCACUAAGUGGCGCUGUUGUCUCUGGUUAGUAACGAUGGUGCUAUUGCUGUGUUGCAUUAACCACUGUGAUUUAUGGAGUCAGACACGAAGUGCUCCACGAACGUCCAAUCAUUUCAUUCUAACAACAACUCCAAGAAGGAGGCAGAGAGGUGCUGAGAGGGGAAGUUGAUUAUCCAACGUCACACAGCUAGGACGUCAUGGAGACAAGAUUCGAAUCCAUAAACUAGUAUCAGAAGUCGUCACUGCAAAAAUGCAGAUACCAACUAUCUCUGCCUGGCCAGGCCCUCAAAAUCAGAGAACGUUUCUCCUGAUGAUCAAGAUACAGUGCUGAGCUUGGAGAAAAUUCAUUACUAAUCCAACAAAAUGAGAGAUGGAGUCUUGCUCUGUUGCCCAGGCUGGAGUGCAAUGGUGUGAUCUCAGCUCACUGCAACCUCUGCUUCCCAGAUACAAGCCAUUCUCCUGCCUCAGCCUCCUGAGUAGCUGGAACUACAGAUGCAUGCCACCACGCCUGGCUAAUUUUUUAUAUUUUUAGUAGAGACAGGAUUUCACCAUGUUGAUCAGGCUGGUCUCAAACUCCUGACCUCAUGAUCCACCUGCCUCAGCCUUACAAAGUACUGGGAUUACACUGCGCCUGAUACGUUUGCAUUUUUAAAGAUUCCCUUGCUGCAGUAAGAGAGAAGAGGUCAGAGGAGCUACAGUCAGUGAGAUGAGACAGACGAGGGGUCCACUGGAUGGUACCGACCUAAUAGUAACAGGCAGUCACAUGAACAAAGGCCAAUAUUUGAACAGAAGGCUGACGUGUUCAGGGUCCGGCCAAGAAGAAAACAAUCCAGAAUGGAAAAGAAUCAGUUCCCCUGCGUAGUGCUCUGGUGGGCUGGUGAACAGGUCCAAUGUCUUCUGCAAGGCCCUCACCCACCUGCACCAUUUCAGGUAGGGAAGCCAACUUGUCCUGGUUUGUCUGGGACCUUUAGCACUGAAAGUCCCAUGCCAGGGAAAACUCCAUUCUGGGAAAACUGAGGAUUCGUCACCCUAAUUUCAGCACCGGGUCUGUUGUAUCAAUGAGGGUAUACCUGCACCUUGCUCCAUUUAGUAUUUCAUUAGAAUGUGCCAGGUGACCCUAGGGGCCUGAACCUGAGAUUUUUGCCUUGAUUGUGUCCUGCAGUAUGUGUUAAAAUAUAUUCUCCUUCCAGUGACUGGGAUAAGUGGUCUUAGGAGAAAGAUGCCUUGUUGCCAAAAUGCUAUUUGAUAAACUAGGAACUGGAUUCUUGAAAUAAUCGAAACUUCUGAAUAAUAUUUAUAUAAGUCUUACAAAGAAGUCCUAUAUGUUGUUCUAUUAGGCUGGUGCAAAAUCGUUUGCAGUUUUUGCCAGCAGGUUUUGCCAGUAAUGGCAAAAACCUGCAAAUACUUUUGCACCAACUUUAAUAUUACAGUGAAAAUGUACUUGGCAAGCCUUACGGUUAUAUGCUUGAGGUGGAAUGCCAGAUGGCCUGGGUGCAAAUUCUGACUCUGUCAUUUACAAGCUCUGUGACCUUGCACUUGUCUUGGCCUGUGUCUCAGUUUCCUCGUAGGUAAAAUAAAGAAGGCACUAAUACUUACUUCUUAGUUAUGAGAGAAGGCAUGUAAAGUGCUGGGCAUCCUACCUGGCAUGCACCAGAUGUACCAUAAAUGUUACCUCUAGGUGUAGGUUAAAGGACCUUAUCUAGGGAAUUGCAUGAAAUUCAUUACACUAGAGCUUCCCUGUUCAGUAGCCACUACCGCCAUGCGGUAAUUGACCACUUGAAAGUCUCAACUGAGAUGUGCUAUAAACUGUAAAAUGUUCUUUAAAGAUUAAGAAAAAGAGAAUAUAAAAUAUCUCCAUGCUAAUCUGUUUAUAUAUUGAUUCCAUAUCAAAAUAACAUUUUGAGUGGACCAAGUAAAAUAAAAUACAUUAUUAAAAUUA
Molecule: long non-coding RNA, 2325 nt
Organism: Callithrix jacchus (white-tufted-ear marmoset)
Lineage: Eukaryota; Metazoa; Chordata; Mammalia; Primates; Cebidae
Source: RefSeq, a predicted model, not a curated record